This 341-nucleotide unclassified non-coding RNA is filed under the name soil metagenome. Its description in RNAcentral is "partial contains 5.8S ribosomal RNA, internal transcribed spacer 2, and large subunit ribosomal RNA". The stretch from base 1 to 120 matches the Rfam family "5.8S ribosomal RNA", at positions 35 to 154 of the family's 154-position model. The record is from RNAcentral.
GAUGAAGAACGUAGUGAAAUGCGAUAAGUAGUGUGAAUUGCAGAAUUCAGUGAAUCAUCGAAUCUUUGAACGCACAUUGCGCCCUUUGGUAUUCCAAAGGGCAUGUCUGUUCGAGCGUCAUUUGUACCCUCAAGCUUUGCUUGGUGUUGGGCGUCUUGUCUCUAGCUUUGCUGGAGACUCGCCUUAAAGUAAUUGGCAGCCGGCCUACUGGUUUCGGAGCGCAGCACAAGUCGCACUCUCUAUCAGCAAAGGUCUAGCAUCCAUUAAGCCUUUUUUUCAACUUUUGACCUCGGAUCAGGUAGGGAUACCCGCUGAACUUAAGCAUAUCAAUAAGCGGAGGA